RNAcentral lists this ribosomal RNA (907 nucleotides) under uncultured bacterium. Its description in RNAcentral is "bacterial SSU rRNA". It matches the Rfam family "Bacterial small subunit ribosomal RNA", at positions 9 to 916 of the family's 1533-position model. The record is from RNAcentral.
GAGUUUGAUCCUGGCUCAGGAUGAACGCUAGCGACAGGCCUAACACAUGCAAGUCGAGGGGCAGCACAGAUAGCAAUAUUGGGUGGCGACCGGCGCACGGGUGAGUAACACGUAUGCAACCUACCUACAACAUUGGGAUAACUCGUUGAAAAACGACCUAAUACCGAAUAAAACAGGGGCUCCACAUGGGGAUAUUUGUUAAAGAUUUAUCGGUUGUAGAUGGGCAUGCGUAUGAUUAGCUAGUUGGUGAGGUAACGGCUCACCAAGGCAACGAUCAUUAGGGGUUCUGAGAGGAAGGUCCCCCACAUUGGAACUGAGACACGGUCCAAACUCCUACGGGAGGCAGCAGUGAGGAAUAUUGGUCAAUGGACGAGAGUCUGAACCAGCCAAGUCGCGUGAAGGAAGACGGUUCUAUGAAUUGUAAACUUCUUUUGUACAGGAAUAAAGUGGAUUACGUGUAAUCUUUUGUAUGUACUGUACGAAUAAGGAUCGGCUAACUCCGUGCCAGCAGCCGCGGUAAUACGGAGGAUCCGAGCGUUAUCCGGAUUUAUUGGGUUUAAAGGGUGCGUAGGUGGAUUGGUAAGUCAGUGGUGAAAGUUUGCAGCUUAACUGUAAAAUUGCCAUUGAAACUGUCAGUCUUGAGUGCAAAUGAGGUAGGCGGAAUGUGUUGUGUAGCGGUGAAAUGCUUAGAUAUGACACAGAACUCCAAUUGCGAAGGCAGCUUACUGGGAUGCAACUGACACUGAGGCACGAAAGCGUGGGUAUCAAACAGGAUUAGAUACCCUGGUAGUCCACGCAGUAAACGAUGAAUACUAGCUGUUUGCGAUAUACAGUAAGCGGUACAGCGAAAGCGUUAAGUAUUCCACCUGGGGAGUACGUUCGCAGAUGAAACUCAAGGAAUUGACGG